Molecule: ribosomal RNA, 497 nt
Filed under: uncultured bacterium
Lineage: Bacteria
Description: partial 16S ribosomal RNA
Rfam family: Bacterial small subunit ribosomal RNA
Source: RNAcentral
GAUGAACGCUGGCGGCGUGCCUAAUACAUGCAAGUCGAGCGAACGGACUAGAAGCUUGCUUCUCUGAUGUUAGCGGCGGACGGGUGAGUAACACGUGGAUAACCUACCUAUAAGACUGGGAUAACUUCGGGAAACCGGAGCUAAUUCCGGAUAAUAUUUUGAACCGCAUGGUUCAAAAGUGAAAGACGGUCUUGCUGUCACUUAUAGAUGGAUCCGCGCUGCAUUAGCUAGUUGGUAAGGUAACGGCUUACCAAGGCAACGAUGCAUAGCCGACCUGAGAGGGUGAUCGGCCACACUGGAACUGAGACACGGUCCAGACUCCUACGGGAGGCAGCAGUAGGGAAUCUUCCGCAAUGGGCGAAAGCCUGACGGAGCAACGCCGCGUGAGUGAUGAAGGUCUUCGGAUCGUAAAACUCUGUUAUUAGGGAAGAACAGAUGUGUAAGUAACUGUGCACAUCUUGACGGUACCUAAUCAGAAAGCCACGGCUAACUACGUG